UGCCAUGCCAGCGUGAGGGCUGUGUGUGGGCAGAGCAGCUUGCGGGACAAGGAGUCCCCGGGGUGUUUUCACCUGCUGUAACCUCAGCCUUUGCUGUCUCACUUAAACCUCUGCUUUUGGAUCUUCAGAGAAACCUUUGCAGCGAAGUCGGGUGGCACUGAAGUCGCAGCUGUGGAGGCAGCAGGAACGGCAGGGAUGUGGGACUUUCCCUGCACAGUACACCACAGCCACCUUCUAGUUGGUUUGCAGGAAAUCAGGGAAGAGAGAUGCAGACUGAAUAACAGCACUCUGCAGUGGGAGAAGUGGGAGAAACUAAGCUACAUCCUGCAAGACUGA
This 336-nucleotide long non-coding RNA is filed under the name Ficedula albicollis (Collared flycatcher). RNAcentral's name for it is "lncRNA (ENSFALG00000026364.1)". The record is from RNAcentral. Lineage: Eukaryota; Metazoa; Chordata; Aves; Passeriformes; Muscicapidae.